AGUCGAGCGGCAGCGGAAAGUAGCUUGCUACUUUGCCGGCGAGCGGCGGACGGGUGAGUAAUGUCUGGGAAACUGCCUGAUGGAGGGGGAUAACUACUGGAAACGGUAGCUAAUACCGCAUGACCUCGAAAGAGCAAAGUGGGGGAUCUUCGGACCUCACGCCAUCGGAUGUGCCCAGAUGGGAUUAGCUAGUAGGUGAGGUAAUGGCUCACCUAGGCGACGAUCCCUAGCUGGUCUGAGAGGAUGACCAGCCACACUGGAACUGAGACACGGUCCAGACUCCUACGGGAGGCAGCAGUGGGGAAUAUUGCACAAUGGGCGCAAGCCUGAUGCAGCCAUGCCGCGUGUGUGAAGAAGGCCUUAGGGUUGUAAAGCACUUUCAGCGAGGAGGAAGGCAUCACACUUAAUACGUGUGGUGAUUGACGUUACUCGCAGAAGAAGCACCGGCUAACUCCGUGCCAGCAGCCGCGGUAAUACGGAGGGUGCAAGCGUUAAUCGGAAUUACUGGGCGUAAAGCGCACGCAGGCGGUUUGUUAAGUCAGAUGUGAAAUCCCCGCGCUUAACGUGGGAACUGCACUUGAAACUGGCAAGCUAGAGUCUUGUAGAGGGGGGUAGAAUUCCAGGUGUAGCGGUGAAAUGCGUAGAGAUCUGGAGGAAUACCGGUGGCGAAGGCGGCCCCCUGGACAAAGACUGACGCUCAGGUGCGAAAGCGUGGGGAGCAAACAG
This 726-nucleotide ribosomal RNA is filed under the name uncultured bacterium. RNAcentral's name for it is "bacterial SSU rRNA". It matches the Rfam family "Bacterial small subunit ribosomal RNA", at positions 60 to 775 of the family's 1533-position model. The record is from RNAcentral.